AGUGAGAGUUCGGCCUUAUCAUCUGAGGAUUCUGCUACAAGGUCAGGAAUGUAACAUUGCAUCACUUUGGCCCAAGACAAAGCUAUCUUCAUCGCCUGACCCUCUCGACUGUGAAGUGCACUCCACUGUAUCCUGGCUUUGAAAUGACUUGUCACAAUUCAUCUUAAAUUUAUUAUUAAAAUCCUUUUCAACUUU
Molecule: long non-coding RNA, 195 nt
Organism: Phyllopteryx taeniolatus (common seadragon)
Lineage: Eukaryota; Metazoa; Chordata; Actinopteri; Syngnathiformes; Syngnathidae
Exons: 2
Source: RefSeq, a predicted model, not a curated record